CCUACGGGUGGCAGCAGUGGGGAAUAUUGCACAAUGGCGGCAACGCUGAUCCAGCCACGCCGCGUGGGUGAUGAAGUACUUCUGUAUUUAAAGCCCUAUCAGCAGGGAAGAAAAUGACGGUACCUGACUAAGAAUCCCCGGCCAACUACGUGCCAGCCGCCGCGGUACUACGUAGGGGGCAACCGUUAUCCGGAUUUUCUGGGUGUAAAGGGAGCGUAUACGGCUUGCCAAGUCUGAUGUGAAAAGCCGGGGCUACACCCCGGGAGUGCAUUGGAAACUGGCAUGCUGGAGUGCCGGAGGGGCAAGCGGAAUGCCUGGUGUAGCGGUGAAAUGCGUAGAUAUUAGGCGGAACACCGGUGGCGAAGGCAGCUUGCUGGACGGUAACUGACGUUGAGGCUCGAAAGCGUGGGGAGCAAACAGGAUUAGAUACCCGAGUAGUC
RNAcentral lists this ribosomal RNA (440 nucleotides) under uncultured bacterium. RNAcentral describes it as "partial 16S ribosomal RNA". It matches the Rfam family "Bacterial small subunit ribosomal RNA", at positions 338 to 795 of the family's 1533-position model. The record is from RNAcentral.